This 494-nucleotide ribosomal RNA is filed under the name uncultured bacterium. RNAcentral describes it as "partial 16S ribosomal RNA". It matches the Rfam family "Bacterial small subunit ribosomal RNA", at positions 28 to 506 of the family's 1533-position model. The record is from RNAcentral.
GACGAACGCUGGCGGCGUGCCUAAUACAUGCAAGUAGAACGCUGAAGGAGGAGCUUGCUUCUCUGGAUGAGUUGCGAACGGGUGAGUAACGCGUAGGUAACCUGCCUGGUAGCGGGUGAUAACUAUUGGAAACGAUAGCUAAUACCGCAUAAUAGUAGAUGUUGCAUGACAUUUGCUUAAAAGGUGCAAUUGCAUCACUACCAGAUGGACCUGCGUUGUAUUAGCUAGUUGGUGGGGUAACGGCUCACCAAGGCGACGAUACAUAGCCGACCUGAGAGGGGGAUCGGCCACACUGGGACUGGGACACGGCCCAGACUCCUACGGGAGGCAGCAGUAGGGAAUCUUCGGCAAUGGACGGAAGUCUGACCGAGCAACGCCGCGUGAGUGAAGAAGGUGUUCGGAUCGUAAAGCUCUGUUGUAAGAGAAGAACGAGUGUGAGAGUGGAAAGUUCACACUGUGACGGUAUCUUACCAGAAAGGGACGGCUAACUACGG